GAUGAACGCUAGCGGAAGGCUUAAUACAUGCAAGUCGAGCGGUAGGUGGCUUCGGCCAUUGAGAGCGGCGCACGGGUGAGUAACGCGUACAUGACCUGCCUGUCAGAAGGGGAUAGCCCUGGGAAACUGGGAUUAAUACCCUAUGGUAUUGAUAUUAUGAAUGAUAUCAAUUAAAGUUGAGGCGCUGACAGAUGGAUGUGCGUCUGAUUAGCUAGUUGGUAGGGUAACGGCCUACCAAGGCGACGAUCAGUAGGGGGCGUGAGAGCGUGGUCCCCCACACGGGUACUGAGACACGGACCCGACUCCUACGGGAGGCAGCAGUAAGGAUAUUGGUCAAUGCCCGCAAGGGUGAACCAGCCAUUCCGCGUGGAGGAUGAAGGCCCUAUGGGUUGUAAACUUCUUUUAGAUGGGAAGAAAUGCUAGAUGUAUCUGGUACUGACGGUACCAUCAGAAUAAGCACCGGCUAACUCCGUGCCAGCAGCCGCGGUAA
RNAcentral lists this ribosomal RNA (490 nucleotides) under uncultured bacterium. RNAcentral describes it as "bacterial SSU rRNA". It matches the Rfam family "Bacterial small subunit ribosomal RNA", at positions 28 to 523 of the family's 1533-position model. The record is from RNAcentral.